Molecule: ribosomal RNA, 344 nt
Filed under: uncultured bacterium
Lineage: Bacteria
Description: bacterial SSU rRNA
Rfam family: Bacterial small subunit ribosomal RNA
Source: RNAcentral
AGGGUUCGAUUAUGGCUCAGGAUGAACGCUGGCGGCGUGCUUAACACAUGCAAGUCGAGCGAAGCACUUAAGAAAGAUUCUUCGGAUGAAUUCUUUAGUGACUGAGCGGCGGACGGGUGAGUAACGCGUGGAUAACCUGCCACAUACAGGGGGAUAACAGUUAGAAAUGACUGCUAAUACCGCAUAAGCGCACAGUGCUGCAUGGCACAGUGUGAAAAACUCCGGUGGUAUGUGAUGGAUCCGCGUUGGAUUAGGCAGUUGGCGGGGUAACGGCCCACCAAACCGACGAUCCAUAGCCGGCCUGAGAGGGUGAACGGCCACAUUGGGACUGAGACACGGCCCAA